RNAcentral lists this ribosomal RNA (547 nucleotides) under uncultured Pseudoxanthomonas sp. RNAcentral's name for it is "bacterial SSU rRNA". It matches the Rfam family "Bacterial small subunit ribosomal RNA", at positions 380 to 920 of the family's 1533-position model. The record is from RNAcentral. Lineage: Bacteria; Pseudomonadati; Pseudomonadota; Gammaproteobacteria; Lysobacterales; Lysobacteraceae.
AGCCUGAUCCAGCCAUACCGCGUGGGUGAGAAGGCCUUCGGGUUGUAAAGCCCUUUUGUUGGGAAAGAAAUCCAGCCGGCUAAUACCCGGUUGGGAUGACGGUACCCAAAGAAUAAGCACCGGCUAACUUCGUGCCAGCAGCCGCGGUAAUACGAAGGGUGCAAGCGUUACUCGGAAUUACUGGGCGUAAAGCGUGCGUAGGUGGUUGUUUAAGUCUGCUGUGAAAGCCCUGGGCUCAACCUGGGAAUUGCAGUGGAUACUGGGCGACUAGAGUGUGGUAGAGGAUAGUGGAAUUUCCGGUGUAGCAGUGAAAUGCGUAGAGAUCGGAAGGAACAUCUGUGGCGAAGGCGACUAUCUGGGCCAACACUGACACUGAGGCACGAAAGCGUGGGGAGCAAACAGGAUUAGAUACCCUGGUAGUCCACGCCCUAAACGAUGCGAACUGGAUGUUGGGCACAACUUGGUGCCCAGUAUCGAAGCUAACGCGUUAAGUUCGCCGCCUGGGGAGUAACGGUCGCAAGACUGAAACUNAGAAAUUUUUGGGGGG